UACGGAGGGGGCUAGCGUUGUUCGGAACUACUGGGCGUAAAGCGCACGUAGGCGGCUUUGUAAGUUAGAGGUGAAAGCCCGGGGCUCAACUCCGGAAUUGCCUUUAAGACUGCAUCGCUAGAAUUGUGGAGAGGUAAGUGGAAUUCCGAGUGUAGAGGUGAAAUUCGUAGAUAUUCGGAAGAACACCAGUGGCGAAGGCGACUUACUGGACACAUAUUGACGCUGAGGUGCGAAAGCGUGGGGAGCAAACAGG
RNAcentral lists this ribosomal RNA (253 nucleotides) under uncultured bacterium. RNAcentral describes it as "partial 16S ribosomal RNA". It matches the Rfam family "Bacterial small subunit ribosomal RNA", at positions 524 to 776 of the family's 1533-position model. The record is from RNAcentral.